AGGACAGGUAUAAUACUUGAAAUUAAAAGGUCGGACAAGGUAAUUGUUAGAAUAUUGAUAAAACGUUUUACAUGAUGAAAAUUGAAGUUCUUGUUGAAUCUUGUUUGAUUGUUAGUGACAUAUACUAUGUGACCCGAGACCUCCCUCAACACGCAAGAACGUCCAUCAAGCCCUUUGCCCUAGCUCCACGGCAUUAAUUUAGCUUGUGGACGGGAAGGGCUCUCCAUUUGCGUCAUGGCUAGAGCUAGUUUUAGCUUUUCAAGGG
Long non-coding RNA from Populus euphratica (Euphrates poplar), 265 nucleotides. RefSeq lists it as uncharacterized. Lineage: Eukaryota; Viridiplantae; Streptophyta; Magnoliopsida; Malpighiales; Salicaceae. The record is from RefSeq and is a predicted model, not a curated record. The transcript is spliced from 2 exons.